UACGGGGGGGGCAAGCGUUGUUCGGAAUUACUGGGCGUAAAGGGCUCGUAGGCGGCCAACUAAGUCAGACGUGAAAUCCCUCGGCUUAACCGGGGAACUGCGUCUGAUACUGGAUGGCUUGAGUGUGGGAGAGGAAUGCGGAAUUCCAGGUGUAGCGGUGAAAUGCGUAGAUAUCAGGAGGAACACCGGUGGCGAAGGCGGGUCUCUGGGCCGAUACUGACGCUGAGGAGCGAAAGCGUGGGGAGCGAACAGG
This 253-nucleotide ribosomal RNA is filed under the name uncultured bacterium. RNAcentral's name for it is "partial 16S ribosomal RNA". It matches the Rfam family "Bacterial small subunit ribosomal RNA", at positions 524 to 776 of the family's 1533-position model. The record is from RNAcentral.